AAACAUGACCUUGACUCCUUAUGCAUAUUGAUUAAGACACAAGAUCACUGACUAUUUGAGUUUUACUGUUACAGCUGCAUAAAGUUGGCUCUGCACAUGGAUUUCAUGCACUCUGUGCUUCAACUCCA
Long non-coding RNA from Nothoprocta perdicaria, 128 nucleotides. RefSeq lists it as uncharacterized. The record is from RefSeq and is a predicted model, not a curated record. The transcript is spliced from 2 exons. NCBI's taxonomy places the organism in Eukaryota, Metazoa, Chordata, Aves, Tinamiformes, Tinamidae.